UUCAAAUGCUUUUUCUCAAAA
RNAcentral lists this non-coding RNA (21 nucleotides) under Caenorhabditis elegans. Lineage: Eukaryota; Metazoa; Nematoda; Chromadorea; Rhabditida; Rhabditidae. The record is from RNAcentral.